GUCGGGGUGGCGUAAUUGGUAGCCGCGUUUGACUUAAGAUCAAAUGCUCGAAAGAGCGUGAGAGUUCGAGUCUCUCCCCCGACA
RNAcentral lists this transfer RNA (84 nucleotides) under Candidatus Kaiserbacteria bacterium RIFCSPHIGHO2_01_FULL_55_79. RNAcentral describes it as "tRNA-Leu". It matches the Rfam family "tRNA". Rfam says of the family: Transfer RNA (tRNA) molecules are approximately 80 nucleotides in length. Their secondary structure includes four short double-helical elements and three loops (D, anti-codon, and T loops). RNAcentral also lists the same sequence under 3 other names. Lineage: Bacteria; Candidatus Kaiseribacteriota. The record is from RNAcentral.